RNAcentral lists this ribosomal RNA (254 nucleotides) under uncultured bacterium. Its description in RNAcentral is "partial 16S ribosomal RNA". It matches the Rfam family "Bacterial small subunit ribosomal RNA", at positions 524 to 776 of the family's 1533-position model. The record is from RNAcentral.
UACAGAGGUCUCAAGCGUUGUUCGGAUUCAUUGGGCGUAAAGGGCUCGUAGGCGGCCAACUAAGUCAGACGUGAAAUCCCUCGGCUUAACCGGGGAACUGCGUCUGAUACUGGAUGGCUUGAGUUUGGGAGAGGGAUGCGGAAUUCCAGGUGUAGCGGUGAAAUGCGUAGAUAUCUGGAGGAACACCGGUGGCGAAGGCGGCAUCCUGGACCAACACUGACGCUGAGUGAGCGAAAGCCAGGGGAGCAAACGGG